Molecule: non-coding RNA, 92 nt
Organism: Cordylochernes scorpioides
Lineage: Eukaryota; Metazoa; Arthropoda; Arachnida; Pseudoscorpiones; Chernetidae
Source: the annotation of a GenBank genome assembly
UGGGCAGAUCCGGGCCCAACGUUGUUGAAACGUUCCUGGAAGGUUGUUUCCAAACCGUGAGUUUCAACAUCUUUGUACCUGUUUCUUCCAUU